Molecule: ribosomal RNA, 747 nt
Filed under: Leptogium hildenbrandii
Lineage: Eukaryota; Fungi; Ascomycota; Lecanoromycetes; Peltigerales; Collemataceae
Description: SSU rRNA
Rfam family: Bacterial small subunit ribosomal RNA
Source: RNAcentral
UCAAUAGCCUAACGGCUGAACCAGCAACUUGGAGGAAUGUAUAGCUAAAGCUAACUUGUAUUUUGAAAAAAAUAUAGAUUCGAUUUAUUCGUAUAAAGUUCAAGGUAGAAUUAUGAUAAUGACAUUGUCUAUCUAUAGUCUUGACCAACAUGCGUGCCAGCGGUCGCGGUAAGACGCUAAAGACUAGUGUUAUUCAUCUUUAAUAGGUUUAAAGCGUACCUAGACGGUAAAUCAAGCCUUAAUCGGGACUAAUUUAACUAGAGUUAGAUGUAAGGGUGCAUUAACGUACUGUUGAGUGUAGAGAUGAAAUUCUUUGAUACCAGAUAAUUGGCACGGGUUUAGGCGAAAGCAUCACCUUAUGUAAUAACUGACGUUGAAGGACGAAGGCUUUGUAUCGCGAACAGGAUUAGAUACCCUAGUAGUCUAAGCAGAAAAUGAUGAGUGUCAUAGGUUAAAUAUUAUUUAGUCUAUAAAUGAAAGUGUAAGCAUUCCACCUCAUGAGUAAUUUGGCAACAUUGGAAUUGAAAUCAUUAGACCGUUUCUGAAACCAGUAGUGAAGUAUGUUGUUUAAUUAGAUGAUACACAAAGAACCUUACCACAAUUUGAAUAUUUUAUUUUACAAGCGUUGCACGGCUGUCUUCAGUUAAUGUCGUGAGAUUCUGGUUAGUUCCAUUUAAUUAACGUAAACCCUUACUUUAUUUUAUUUUAUAUAAAGUUGUUCACCGCUAGAUUGGUAUUGAUAAAAGG